GGUAUCUAUCCUUUGUUAUCAUCAUUUGGAUUUAGUCUCUAUCAUUUGCAUGGAGAUACAUCUAUGAACUUAAUUAAGCAAGCAGUAAAUGCCAUUGGAUCUGAGAGAUCCAAAAUUGAGAUCAAUCUUAAGUAUAUAUGAAACCUUAGGCUAAGUCAUAUUGGAGAAGAAAUGAUUAAUAAGCUCAAGAAUUAUGAGCUUUUGGGCUCAUUGAAUGUUGAGUCAUAUCUUGUUUGUACAUCAUCUCUUUGAGAAAAUAUGACCAAGCUGCUCUUGUGGAACUAGAGAAAAAAGAUCAUUGAGAUACUUAUCC
RNAcentral lists this long non-coding RNA (313 nucleotides) under Elaeis guineensis (African oil palm). RNAcentral describes it as "long non-coding RNA (EGUI_LNC059589)". The record is from RNAcentral. Lineage: Eukaryota; Viridiplantae; Streptophyta; Magnoliopsida; Arecales; Arecaceae.